AUGGCGACCGGCGCACGGGUGAGUAACGCGUAUCCAACCUGCCCUUUACUAUGGGACAGCCCGUCGAAAGGCGGAUUAAUACCGUAUGUUGUCAUGUUGAUGCAUAUUUUCAAGACCAAAGGCUUCGGCCGGUAAAGGAUGGGGAUGCGUCUGAUUAGCUUGCCGGCGGGGUAACGGCCCACCGGGGCGACGAUCAGUAGGGGUUCUGAGAGGAAGGUCCCCCACAUUGGAACUGAGACACGGUCCAAACUCCUACGGGAGGCAGCAG
This 268-nucleotide ribosomal RNA is filed under the name uncultured bacterium. RNAcentral describes it as "partial 16S ribosomal RNA". It matches the Rfam family "Bacterial small subunit ribosomal RNA", at positions 88 to 354 of the family's 1533-position model. The record is from RNAcentral.